Transfer RNA from Sphingobacterium paucimobilis HER1398, 70 nucleotides. It matches the Rfam family "tRNA". Rfam says of the family: Transfer RNA (tRNA) molecules are approximately 80 nucleotides in length. Their secondary structure includes four short double-helical elements and three loops (D, anti-codon, and T loops). The record is from Rfam. Lineage: Bacteria; Pseudomonadati; Bacteroidota; Sphingobacteriia; Sphingobacteriales; Sphingobacteriaceae.
GGUCAGGUGACUGAUUGGAAGGUAAAGGUUUGCAAGACCUUUUAUAAUGGUUCGAAUCCAUUCCUGACCU